Molecule: ribosomal RNA, 301 nt
Filed under: uncultured bacterium
Lineage: Bacteria
Description: partial 16S ribosomal RNA
Rfam family: Bacterial small subunit ribosomal RNA
Source: RNAcentral
CAGUAGCCGCGGUAAUACGUAGGUGGCAAGCGUUGUCCGGAAUUAUUGGGCGUAAAGGGCUCGCAGGCGGUUUCUUAAGUCUGAUGUGAAAGCCCCCGGCUCAACCGGGGAGGGUCAUUGGAAACUGGGAAACUUGAGUGCAGAAGAGGAGAGUGGAAUUCCACGUGUAGCGGUGAAAUGCGUAGAGAUGUGGAGGAACACCAGUGGCGAAGGCGACUCUCUGGUCUGUAACUGACGCUGAGGAGCGAAAGCGUGGGGAGCGAACAGGAUUAGAUACCCCUGUAGUCCAUGUCUCUUAUAA